This is a long non-coding RNA of Phodopus roborovskii (desert hamster), 627 nucleotides long. RefSeq lists it as uncharacterized. Lineage: Eukaryota; Metazoa; Chordata; Mammalia; Rodentia; Cricetidae. The record is from RefSeq and is a predicted model, not a curated record. The transcript has 3 exons.
CAGUGAAGGAGGCUUGAAGGGGUUAAAGUGGAAGGCUUGUACAAACUUUGCUCUCACAUCUCCUCCCUCCCCCGGGGGCUCUGCACAGCUCGGCAGAGCUGAGCACAGUGGAAUCGUCACCUUUCCUUGUAUUCGCUCAACUGUUGCCUGCAAAGGAGGAACCAGGCACUUAACCAAGCCGGGCUGCUUCUAUUCAAAUGUUCCAAGAGGACAUCUACAGGUCCAGAGACUUCUCAAUGCUCUUUGCAGCUUAGAAGAAACGGACAUCAGAAACUGCACUCUGAAGCUAUAUUCCAGAGAUGCUCCUAAACAAGUUGUCUGCUGCUGCAAGCUUCAAAGGGGACAUUUAAACGGCCAGCCCCAUUCAUUCUGUGACCCAGGGAAGGAAAAUUAAUCUGUGAAGAAUCCUAUCAGUCAAAUUCUCUGAGCCCUGGCCUCUUGUCAGCAUAUCUGAGACCUCCUUCACCUGAGAAUCAACAGGUCUCACAACACUUCCCCUGCAGUCUACAGUGAGGGAUGUCAAAAAAUCUAUAGACUAUUCAUGCCCUGUAUUCUUAUAUCCUUCAGCUGGGCAUCUGGGCAGGAACAUUACAAUCUCUAACUUUAGAGAAGAUUGAGCAAGUCAGG